CCAAAUUCAUUAAAAGAAAACUAAAUAGAUAGAGUCCACAAUCCAUUUAUCAAUACAAAUGUAUAAUACUACUACAGGUCACUCUCACACACACCAUUUCAAAAGAAGAGGCCUUAAUUAACAUCUAUAGUUCAAAGUCUAUUCACAGGAUAUAGAAUAGUAAAAAAAAACAGGGGGAAUCAGCUUCGAAUGUAUUCUUCAUUUAACAGAACUUCACUCAUGUUACAUGUUCAACAAUCGUUCCUCAAUUGUAAGCUAAGAAGGUACCUGGAAAUUGGAAAGAAAACAGAGGUGAACAACCAACAAAUAAGCAGCAAGGAUCAGUGGCAAAACAGUCAGCAAAUCAACUCCAAUCUCAGAAAUGAUGUAAAGCAGCUCCAAAUAACAAAUUUCGACCAAUCAACAGCCCAGCACUACUUUAAACCAGAUUUCUGACGACCAAGCUUAAUCCAUUUCUCAUUCAGGUCAGUAAAAAUGGUUUUAGAAGUUCAAAAGAAAUCAAAAAUCACUGAAGAAAUAUCAAUAAAACAGUAGAAGUCCAGCCGUUUAUAUUUUUCUGACUUUUAUCCCUUGAAAUCUCUCAAAAUCAAGUCAUUUCAGCCCUCAGAUAAGUCAGAAUUCGAUUUAGGAGUGGGAAAUCUAAGAAAUCACCAAGGAAACUCAAUGAAACAGUAAUUUUGCAAUUGUUUUUAUUUUUCAGAAUUUUUUUAUCUCUUAAGCCCCCUCCUUUCAAUGCAAGAAAGCAUGCCUUUAUAGGUCAGGAAGUAGGGCAACUUUCAAAUUUUAAUAUUCACCCCCUUAGUCCCUUUCCAAUUCUCAUCUUUGCUGCUUAAUCCCUAAACUUCUGACUUGCUGGCCAAGUAAGGCCUUUUUUCAGCUUCUAGGAAGCUUCCUAGACAGUUAUCAAAAGAUUCCCUACUCCCAAUUUUCCAAACUACCCCUUAAACAACUACCAUUUACCAUUUAAACCAACUGGGUCAAGUUGACCCAAAUUUACUUAGUGGGUCUCGGCUUGUAAUCUCUAGGCCAGACCUUUUCUUUUGAGCCCAGCUUGACUCGAGGUCUCACAGAGGAAUUCAAAGAAAAGAGGAAGAAGAAGAUGGAACAGAAACAACAGGUUUUCGACACAAAGCUUUAAAAGCCCAAAUAUCAAGGGCAAACCAAUUUAAACUAAAAUUCAGGCUCAGAAACACUAAUUAACUCAAAGUGGGAAAACAUGCAAAAAGUUCAAAGUAUCAGAAGAUCAGAGAAGGAAAGAAAAAAUCAAAAUUCACACACAAGAAACAGAAACAGACAAUAAAGGAGCUCAUAUAAAAAAAAAUCAAACUCAGAAAUUAAAGACAUCACACAUAAAAAUAGCCUAGACCGUAAGAAAUGCAGAAGAAUUUCGAAUCUUCAGAAUCUCGGCUCAAUCGGAGAUUAAUCAUGUAUUUUUUUUUAACAAAACGCACGAAUAAAGUCUGACCAAACCUGAACUCUUCACAAAGGUCUUGAGUGGGAGGAAUUAGAGUUUUAGGGUUACGCUUUGCUCUAAGAUUCGAGAAGCUCAAGGGACAUUCGAGGGAAAAUAUUUGUGGAUUCAUCCUGAGGGAGGCAUUGGGGUUUUGGGGUAUCAAUUUGGGAGUGAUUGGGGCCGGCGCCGUCACCUGAGAGGUUGAGGAGUUGAAGCGGCGGGCGUUAGGGUUCAUGGAGACGAGGGAGUUGAAGUGAAG
RNAcentral lists this long non-coding RNA (1712 nucleotides) under Nicotiana tabacum (common tobacco). RNAcentral's name for it is "long non-coding RNA (NTAB_LNC015534)". The record is from RNAcentral. Lineage: Eukaryota; Viridiplantae; Streptophyta; Magnoliopsida; Solanales; Solanaceae.